Molecule: ribosomal RNA, 107 nt
Filed under: Alligator mississippiensis (American alligator)
Lineage: Eukaryota; Metazoa; Chordata; Crocodylia; Alligatoridae
Source: RNAcentral
AUAUGCAGCCACAUCGGCUGAAUGCACCUGAUCUUGGAUGCUAAGCAGCCUUGGACUUGCUAGCACUUGGAUGGGACACCACUUUGCAAACCCAGGCACUGUAGAUC